GGUGAAAGGCUUGCUGCCUGAAGAAGAGCUUGCGUCUGAUUAGCUAGUUGGUGGGGUAAGAGCCUACCAAGGCGACGAUCAGUAGCUGGUCUGAGAGGAUGAUCAGCCACACUGGGACUGAGACACGGCCCAGACUCCUACGGGAGGCAGCAGUGGGGAAUUUUCCGCAAUGGGCGAAAGCCUGACGGAGCAAUACCGCGUGAGGGAGGAAGGCUCUUGGGUUGUAAACCUCUUUUCUCAGGGAAGAACAAARUGACGGUACCUGAGGAAUAAGCAUCGGCUAACUCCGUGCCAGCAGCCGCGGUAAUACGGAGGAUGCAAGCGUUAUCCGGAAUGAUUGGGCGUAAAGGGUCCGCAGGUGGCAUUGUAAGUCUGCUGUUAAAGAGUUUGGCUCAACCAAAUAAAAGCAGUGGAAACUACAAAGCUAGAGUGUGGUCGGGGCAGAGGGAAUUCCUGGUGUAGCGGUGAAAUGCGUAGAUAUCAGGAAGAACACCGGUGG
This 499-nucleotide ribosomal RNA is filed under the name Aphanizomenon gracile 0AU34S1. RNAcentral describes it as "bacterial SSU rRNA". It matches the Rfam family "Bacterial small subunit ribosomal RNA", at positions 199 to 715 of the family's 1533-position model. Lineage: Bacteria; Bacillati; Cyanobacteriota; Cyanophyceae; Nostocales; Aphanizomenonaceae. The record is from RNAcentral.